GCACGUGAACAGCGGUUGAACAUGGGUCAGACGGUCCUGAGAGAUGGGUGAGCGCCCUGAUCGAAAGGGAGUCGGGUUCUGAUCCCCAAAUCUGGAGUGGCAGAGAUGGGCGCUGUGAGGCAUCCAGUGAGGUAACGCAACCAAUCUGGAGAAGCCGGCCGGAGCCUGGGGGAGAGUUCUCUUUUCUUUGUGAAGGUCAGGCCACCCUGGAAUGGGUUCCCCCCCAAGAGAGGGGCCCGUGCCUUGGAAAACAUCGCGGUAAAGAAAACAAAAAACAAAACGUUUGCAUGUAGAUGACUCAAUUAAUUCUCAUGCCAAGACACUGGGUGUUGACUCAGUCACACACACUG
RNAcentral lists this non-coding RNA (350 nucleotides) under Ovis aries (sheep). RNAcentral's name for it is "Eukaryotic large subunit ribosomal RNA". It matches the Rfam family "Eukaryotic large subunit ribosomal RNA", at positions 1509 to 1800 of the family's 3401-position model. Lineage: Eukaryota; Metazoa; Chordata; Mammalia; Artiodactyla; Bovidae. The record is from Rfam by way of RNAcentral.